RNAcentral lists this ribosomal RNA (415 nucleotides) under uncultured bacterium. RNAcentral describes it as "bacterial SSU rRNA". It matches the Rfam family "Bacterial small subunit ribosomal RNA", at positions 385 to 793 of the family's 1533-position model. The record is from RNAcentral.
GAUGCAGCCUGCCGCGUGAGUGACGAAGGUCUUCGGAUCUUCUAGCUCUGUUAUCGGAGAAAAACACGGACCGUCGUAACUGGAAUUCCGCUGACGGUAUCCGACCACAAAGUCUCGGCUAAAUACGUGCCAGCAGCCGCGGUAAUACGUAGGUGACAAGCGUUGUCCGGAUUUAUUGGGCGUAAAGCGAGCGCAGGCGGUCUUUUAAGUCUGAUGUGAAAGCCCACGGCUCAACCGUGGAUGGUCAUUGGAAACUGGAAGACUUGAAUGCAGAAAAGGAAAGUGGAAUUCCAUGUGUAGCGGUGAAAUGCGUACAUAUAUGGAGGAACACCAGUGGCGAAGGCGACUUUCUGGUCUGUAAUUGACGCUGAGGCUCGAAAGCGUGGGGAGCGAACAGGAUUAGAUACCCUGGUAG